GCGGCCCCACCCCGCGCACGGCCGGACCCCGCCUCCCGCCCGCGUCCCGCGCGGUCCUAGAGCCCGCGCGCCGGCGGAGCUCGGGCGGCGAGAGCGGCGCGCGGGGAGCGUCCGCCCGCCGCUGCUUGGGCGGCGGCGGCCUGAGUAAGUCCCGGAAGGGACUGACCCGCCGCCUCUGCCGAGAACGAGGGGACAGCCGGCCCCCACUGCCCAAACAGAAAACGGAGCUGAUGAUCUGGAUAAUUCUGGGUGGCGUGGGAGGAAACGUGCUUCUGUACGGUUAAAAUAACCCGAUAAGCAUCCCUACGUCCCAGGCACUUAACAAAAUGUAAGGUGGUCUGUUUCUUUGACAUACGUUGGGUCAAAACACCGUGACUUCGCGAAAAGACAAAUUAGUAAGAUAAAAAUGAAACUGUAUAUUUCGCUCCGUGAAUUAAGAAAUAAAUAAUGAGGAAAGGGAGCCAAGCCGCCUUCCCGCCUCCCCUGCUGGCCAUAAAUUUAGAGUAUGUUUAUAAAUACAGUACCUAAAUAUAUUUGUUCUGAAAGUUGAGUUCCAAAGCAGGGAAGAUCUCAACCCAGCCGUGAUGAUGACGUUACCAUAGACAAGUCUCGCAAGUGAGAAAAAUGUCGUGUGAGAGCUACUUAAGCCGUGGCAGCUAAGGGAAACAGGUUUAACGUGCCAGAAUUUGAGCCCACCAAGACGCUUCUUCGUCCAUGAAUCCUAAAACGUCACAGGAAGGAAGGCCACCAGCUUUACACAUCAUGUUACACGAGAACUGGCCUUUUUAAAGAUAGAUUCCUGAUAGAAUUGUCAAGAGUUGUGUCUAGGUGAUGUUAUAGAAGUCUAAAUUCAUGAGGGAUGUCAUAGAACUUCACAAUGCCUUAGCCUCAGGUCGACUGGAGAGGCACGGAUAUAAAAAGAGAUCCUUCUAUGUGCUAGGCACUGCCCUGGGGUAUUUCUUACCAUAUGCGAUACAGUUAAGAUAAGAUUUGACUGAAACACCACACUAUUGUACCCAGAGCUUAGAAGGAGUCGUCUGGGUUUGGAACAGUUUUUACAAAGACCGUUGUACCUAGAGAAACAUGAGUAUGUGUAUAACUGACUUGUUUGGGGCCUUCCUGAGUGCGGAAACUGCAAAAUUUACCCAGGUAACUUCAAGGACCAAGCAAGUAAACAGCCCAGGGCCAGCUUAAUCUACUCGGUUUUAAAUUUUUGAAUAUUUUUUUCAUUUGAAUAGUUUUACACAAUCCUGCAAAGACCAGAACCUUGCGAGCUACUUCAUAUUUUCUGUUACUCAUCUCGUGUCUAGUUAACCACGCGUCACCUCAUACAGGCAUAGCACGGAGACAUCGUGGGCUUGGUUCCAGACCACCGCAAAAAAGCAAAUAUUGCAAUAAAGCAAGUCAAAUUAAUUUGGGAGUCUCCCAGGACAUAUAAAAAGUUCCGGUUACACUCGACUACAGUCUUUUAAGUGUGCAAUAGCAUUGUGUCUAAAACACAAUGUACCUUAACUUAAAAAAUACGUUUAUUACGAUUGUUAUAUAUUAUAUACAUAUAUAUGCAUAUGGCAAUUUUGUAAAAGAAAACAAUAAAGUUUGCCCCAUUGACGGACUCUUUCACGGACAAUUUCCCUGUAGUGUCUCCCCCUCAGUAGAACCUCCUUCAAAGCUGGAGUCUAUCCUCUCAAAUCCUGCCCUGCUUGAACUUCUAAAUCCCGUGUUGUCACGUCAACAGGCUUCACAGCAUCUUCAGCAGGAGCAGAGUCCCAUCUGGAGAAACCACGUUCUCUGCUCAGCGGUGAGAAGCAGUCCUCACCCCAUCGCGUCCUGUCACGAGAUCGCGGCAACGCCGUCCACCUUCAGGCCCCACUUCGUCUAGUCCUGGUUCUCUCGCUGUUUCCACCACAUCCGCCGUGAUUGCCUCCACCGACGCCCCGAGCCCCCAGAGUCAUCCCCAAGGGUGGGAAUCACUUCUGCCAAACGCCAGCAGAGGUGGAUAUUGUGCCCUCUGCCCGUGCAUAUUGAAUGUUCUUAAUAGCAUCCAGAAUCUAGAAUGUUCUUAAUGGCAUCUAGAAUCCUUUCCAGAAGGUUUUAUUUGCUUAGCCCAGAUCUAUCAGAGGGAUCACUACGUAUGGCAGCUAUGACCUUACAAAACCUACCUAUUAAAAUAUAAGACCUGUGGGGUUUUGUACAUAGCAGGGCUCUCGGGUGACCAGGUGUAUUGGUCCGUGAGGAGGAAUAUUUUGAAAGGAAUCAUUUCUCUUAGCGGUAGUUCUCAACAGUGGGCUUCAAAUAUUCAGUAAACCGUGCUGUAAACAGACGUGCUGUCAUUCGAGCUUCGGGGUAUCGUCUAUAGAGCACAGGCAGAGUCGAUUCAGCAGAAUUCUGAAGGGCCGGGGGGUUUUUGGAAUGGUCAGUGAGCACUGACUUCAUAUCACCAGCUGCCUUAGCCCCUGACAAGACAGAAGCUUUGAGGCCGGCCACUGACUUCUCUCUAGCUGUGCAAGUCCUCAGUGGCAUCUUCUUCCACUAGAAGGCCAUUUCGUCUACACUGAAAACCUGUUGUUCAGUAGUCCCACCGUCGUUACCAUCGCACCUAGACCCGGAUACGUCGCCGCAGCUCCACACCGGCAUUUGCGGGUUUACCUUGCGAUGUUACGGCACAGAGACGGAUUCUUUCCGUCAAGGUCACGAGCCUUCGAACGUUUCUUCUGGCGCUUCCUCACCUCUCUCGGCCUUCACAGAAAGGAUUACAGUUGGGUCCUCGCUGUGGAUCAGGCUUUGGCUCAAGGGAAUGUUGCGGCUGUUGUGAUGUCUCUCCGGAACACUCAGAAUGCCUCCAUAUCAGCGAUAACACCGUUUCACUUGCGUAUCAUUUGUAACACAGCACUUUAAACUUCCUUCAAGAUUGUUUCCUCUUCGUUCCCAGCUUGGCUAGUGUUUUUGCUGCAGAGGCCCAGCUUUUGGCCUAUCUUGGCUUUCACCAUGCCUUCCGCACUAAGCUUAAUCACGUCUAGGUUUUUUUUUUUUUAAAGCAAACUUCUUUUUUUUUAAACGUUUAUUCAUGUUCGAGAGACAGAGCAGAAGCAGGGAAGGGGCAGAGAGAGAGGGAGACACAGAAUCAGAAACAGGCGCCAGGCUGUCAGCACAGAGCCUGAUGGGGGCUCGAACCCACCAACCGCGAGAUCAUGACCUGAGCCAGGGUCUGACGCUCAGCCGACAGAGCCACCCAGGCGCCCCUCGUCGCUUCUGGUUUUAAGUGAGAGACAUGUGGCUUUUUCCUUUCAUUUGAGCACUUAGAGGCCAUUACAGGGUUACUAAUUGGCCUAAUUUCAAUAUCGCUGUGUCCCAGGGAAUAGGGAGACCCAAAGAGAGAGAGAGAGAGAGAGAGAGAGAGAGAGGAGGAACAACCUGAGCAGUCAGAACACACACAUUUAUUGACUAAGUUCAUCAUCUUAUAUGGGUGCCGUUUGUGGCACCCCAAAAUUACAAAGUGAUUGCGGGAUCACUGAUCACAGAUCACCACAACAGAUACAAUAAUGCAAAACGUUGAUGUAUCCCAAGAACCAGCAAAAUGUGACACAGAGCCCAUGAAGUGAGCCAAUGAUGUGGGAAGAAUGGCCCCACCCACGACUGCCACAAACCCUCACAGUAAAACGCACAAUGAAUGUGAAGAGCAACAA
Felis catus (domestic cat) is the source of this 3683-nucleotide long non-coding RNA. RefSeq lists it as uncharacterized. The record is from RefSeq and is a predicted model, not a curated record. NCBI's taxonomy places the organism in Eukaryota, Metazoa, Chordata, Mammalia, Carnivora, Felidae. The transcript is spliced from 2 exons.